GACGAACCGUGCGAACGUUGUUCGGAUUCACUGGGCUUAAAGGGCGCGUAGGCGGUACGCCAAGUCUGGGGUGAAAUCUUUCGGCUCAACCGGAAAAUGGCCUGGGAUACUGGCGUGCUCGAGGGAGGUAGGGGCAGCGGGAACUGCCAGUGGAGCGGUGAAAUGCGUUGAUAUUGGCAGGAACGCCGGUGGCGAAAGCGCGUUGCUGGACCUCUUCUGACGCUGAUGCGCGAAAGCUAGGGGAGCAAACGGG
This 253-nucleotide ribosomal RNA is filed under the name uncultured bacterium. Its description in RNAcentral is "partial 16S ribosomal RNA". It matches the Rfam family "Bacterial small subunit ribosomal RNA", at positions 524 to 776 of the family's 1533-position model. The record is from RNAcentral.